RNAcentral lists this unclassified non-coding RNA (329 nucleotides) under soil metagenome. RNAcentral describes it as "partial contains 5.8S ribosomal RNA, internal transcribed spacer 2, and large subunit ribosomal RNA". The stretch from base 1 to 120 matches the Rfam family "5.8S ribosomal RNA", at positions 35 to 154 of the family's 154-position model. The record is from RNAcentral.
GAUGAAGAACGUAGCGAAAUGCGAUACGUAAUGUGAAUUGCAGAAUUCAGUGAAUCAUCGAGUCUUUGAACGCACAUUGCGCCCCUUGGUAUCCCGAGGGGCAUGCCUGUUCGAGCGUCAUUUCACCACUCAAGCCUGGCUUGGUGUUGGGCGACGUCCCCUUUGGGGACGCGCCUUGAAACGCUCGGCGGCGUGGCACCGGCUUUAAGCGUAGCAGAAUCUUUCGCUUUGGAAGUCGGGGCCCCGUCUGCCGGAAGACCUACUCGCAAGGUUGACCUCGGAUCAGGCAGGGAUACCCGCUGAACUUAAGCAUAUCAAUAAGCGGAGGA